Non-coding RNA from Paramormyrops kingsleyae, 380 nucleotides. NCBI's taxonomy places the organism in Eukaryota, Metazoa, Chordata, Actinopteri, Osteoglossiformes, Mormyridae. The record is from RefSeq and is a predicted model, not a curated record.
CGCUCUGAGCUGUGCGGAGUGUCAGAACACAGGCAGCGAUCUCUCCUCCGUCCUUUUGUCGUGAAAAUCAGGAGCGGCCUGCAUCCGUCAGUUCUGGGACCGGGGCUGAGGCAGGCAUCAGGUUUUCGGGACCUUGCGAGGAAAAAAAAACACCCUGUCUCAGCCCAUUCCGUCUGGAUAAACAGGAAGAACGAACAGCCCAGCAAACAGCGGGACCCCAGGUCUACACAGGGCUUGCGCUGAAUGCUAACAAGCUAGGACUCGUCCUUCGCUCACAGUUAUACGCCAGUGUUAAAGGAGUCUGAAGGGAGCCAGGUUCUGACGAGAGACGUCCCGGCUCGGAAUUUGAAGAUUUUCCUGAAACGGGAGUUGGAUUUCAC